CGCGGCCUAUCAGCUUGUUGGUGAGGUAACGGCUCACCAAGGCUUCGACGGGUAGCCGGCCUGAGAGGGCGACCGGCCACACUGGGACUGAGAUACGGCCCAGACUCCUACGGGAGGCAGCAGUGGGGAAUAUUGCACAAUGGGCGAAAGCCUGAUGCAGCGACGCCGCGUGCGGGAUGACGGCCUUCGGGUUGUAAACCGCUUUCAGUAGGGACGAAGCGAGAGUGACGGUACCUACAGAAGAAGGACCGGCUAACUACGUGCCAGCAGCCGCGGUGAUACGUAGGGUCCAAGCGUUGUCCGGAAUUAUUGGGCGUAAAGGGCUUGUAGGCGGUCCGUCGCGUCAGAAGUGAAAACUCAGGGCUUAACCCUGAGCCUGCUUUUGAUACGGGCGGACUAGAGGGAUGCAGGGGAGAACGGAAUUCCUGGUGGAGCGGUGGAAUGCGCAGAUAUCAGGAGGAACACCGGUGGCGAAGGCGGUUCUCUGGGCAUUACCUGACGCUGAGAAGCGAAAGCGUGGGGAGCAAACAGGCUUAGAUACCCUGGUAGUCCACGCCGUAAACGGUGGGCACUAGGUGUGGGGGACAUUCCACGUUCUCCGUGCCGAAGCUAACGCAUUAAGUGCCCCGCCUGGGAGUACGGA
Molecule: ribosomal RNA, 643 nt
Filed under: uncultured bacterium
Lineage: Bacteria
Description: bacterial SSU rRNA
Rfam family: Bacterial small subunit ribosomal RNA
Source: RNAcentral